RNAcentral lists this non-coding RNA (27 nucleotides) under Homo sapiens (human). Lineage: Eukaryota; Metazoa; Chordata; Mammalia; Primates; Hominidae. The record is from RNAcentral.
UGGAAUGAUUGAGGAGGUCUGGUCACC